CCUACGGGUGAGCUGCAGUGGGGAAUAUUGGACAAUGGGCGAAAGCCUGAUCCAGCCAUGCCGCGUGUGUGAAGAAGGCCUUCGGGUUGUAAAGCACUUUCAGUGGGGAAGAAAGCCUUGGGGCUAAUACCCUCGAGGAAGGACAUCACCCACAGAAGAAGCACCGGCUAACUCCGUGCCAGCAGCCGCGGUAAUACGGAGGGUGCGAGCGUUAAUCGGAAUUACUGGGCGUAAAGCGCGCGUAGGCGGUCUGAUAAGCCGGUUGUGAAAGCCCCGGGCUCAACCUGGGAACGGCAUCCGGAACUGUCAGGCUAGAGUGCAGGAGAGGAAGGUAGAAUUCCCGGUGUAGCGGUGAAAUGCGUAGAGAUCGGGAGGAAUACCAGUGGCGAAGGCGGCCUUCUGGACUGACACUGACGCUGAGGUGCGAAAGCGUGGGUAGCAAACAGGAUUAGAUACCCCAGUAGUC
RNAcentral lists this ribosomal RNA (466 nucleotides) under Vreelandella stevensii. RNAcentral's name for it is "partial 16S ribosomal RNA". It matches the Rfam family "Bacterial small subunit ribosomal RNA", at positions 338 to 795 of the family's 1533-position model. The record is from RNAcentral. Lineage: Bacteria; Pseudomonadati; Pseudomonadota; Gammaproteobacteria; Oceanospirillales; Halomonadaceae.